UACGUAGGUGGCAAGCGUUGUCCGGAUUUACUGGGCGUAAAGAGCGCGCAGGCGGUCGUUCAAGUCGAGUGUGAAAGCCCCCGGCUCAACUGGGGAGGGUCACUCGAUACUGAUCGACUCGAAGGCAUAAGAGGGAAGCGGAAUUCCCGGUGUAGUGGUGAAAUGCGUAGAUAUCGGGAGGAACACCAGUGGCGAAGGCGGCUUUCUGGUCUGCUCUUGACGCUGAGGCGCGAAAGCUAGGGUAGCAAACGGG
This 253-nucleotide ribosomal RNA is filed under the name uncultured bacterium. Its description in RNAcentral is "partial 16S ribosomal RNA". It matches the Rfam family "Bacterial small subunit ribosomal RNA", at positions 524 to 776 of the family's 1533-position model. The record is from RNAcentral.